RNAcentral lists this ribosomal RNA (473 nucleotides) under unidentified nematode Sourhope farm. Its description in RNAcentral is "SSU rRNA". It matches the Rfam family "Eukaryotic small subunit ribosomal RNA", at positions 58 to 527 of the family's 1831-position model. The record is from RNAcentral. Lineage: Eukaryota; Metazoa; Nematoda.
UCUAAGUAUAACCUGCCAGACAGGGAAACUGCGUACGGCUCAUUACACCAGCCUUAAUUUACUUGACCUUGACAACCUACUUGGAUAACUGUGGUAAUUCUAGAGCUAAUACAUGCACCAAAGCUCCGAUCCUCGCGGAGAGGAGCGCAUUUGUUCGCCACAAAACCAAGCGCCCAUCUGGGCGUCCAGUGCUGAACCAGAACAACUCAGCUGAUCGCACGGUCUUGUACCGGCGACGUGUCUUUCAAGUGUCUGCCUUAUCAACUUUCGAUGGUAGUGUACCUGACUACCAUGGUUGUGACGGGUAACGGAGGAUAAGGGUUCGACUCCGGAGAAGGGGCCUGAGAAAUGGCCACUACGUCUAAGGAUGGCAGCAGGCGCGCAAAUUACCCACUCUCAACGCGAGGAGGUAGUGACGAGAAAUAACGAGACCGUUCUCAUACGAGGCCGGUUAUUGGAAUGGGUACAAUUUA